CCGACAGCGUCAGUUCGUUUGCGAACUGUGUGAAAAGCGAAUUCGGUCACAACGUUUUAUUCGAAAAUCUAAAAAAAGUACAAAAAGUCAAAAACGAAAUGGAAAAGCGUCAACGAACCGCUGUGCGAGUGGUAAUGUGUGAAAAGCUACAAAGAAAUUAAUUAUAUUUUGGUGACUCGUGGUUUUAUUGCUCGCAUCUGCCUGUGAUUUUAUAGUGCUGUGACAUUUGGUACAUAUUCGAAAUUGAGAAAUAUGGUGCACUGCCGUAAGCGGGCCGCGUUAGUGUUUGCUGCGAUGACGGUUCAUAUAAAAUGCAUGUGAAAUGAGGAAAGCCCGUGCUGGCGACCAGCUAUGGCAGUUUAUCUACUCCAAGUCAACCGUAUUAGCUCUUACCUACACAAGUCUUCACCUGCCAAUAAAAUUCACCAGCAAAAAUGUGAUAUUUAAGUGGUUGCAAUUGCAAGUGUUUUAUUCAACAUAUUAUUUGAGUUCAGUGCACCAUUUGGAUGACGACUGAACGACCGUGAGGAUAAACUUUGCGAAAUGCGGAAAAACUAUCAGAUAUAAAAGGGAGACGUUAAACCAAAAUGACGCUGCAGAUA
Long non-coding RNA from Bactrocera dorsalis (oriental fruit fly), 602 nucleotides. RefSeq lists it as uncharacterized. The transcript is spliced from 2 exons. The record is from RefSeq and is a predicted model, not a curated record. NCBI's taxonomy places the organism in Eukaryota, Metazoa, Arthropoda, Insecta, Diptera, Tephritidae.